Long non-coding RNA from Equus caballus (horse), 2691 nucleotides. The record is from Ensembl. Lineage: Eukaryota; Metazoa; Chordata; Mammalia; Perissodactyla; Equidae.
UUGGGGCCAGCCCAGUGGCGCAGCGGUUAAGUGCACACGUUCCACUUUGAAGGCCGGGGCUUCCCCGGUUCGGAUCCCGGGUGUGGACCUAUGCACCACUUGUCAAGCCAUGCUGUGGUAGGCGUCCCACAUAUAAAGUAGAGGAAGAUGGGUACAGAUGUUAGCUCAGGGCCGGUCUUCCUCAGCAAAAAGAGGAGAAUUGCUGGCAGAUGUUAGCUCAGGGCUAAUCUUCCUCAAAAAAAAAAAAGGCAAUUUCAUAACAUAUUUAUUCAAGUUGCAAAAGUGUUCUGGUACGCUAAAAAUCUCUUUUCUUAAACCCCUUUUCACUCAUGGAACUCUUACUUUCCUGUAUUUUAAUCACAGUUCCCAAAGAUUUUUCUGCUAGAAGCUAAAAUGGAUUUUUCCCUGAAAUAUCAUCAUAAAAUCCUAUGAAAUAUUUCAGUGAUAUGAGUCAUUCACUUAUUCAUAUGGGUAGACAUUUAGAUAAUAGAAGUAGCUAACAGAAAUCUGUGAGAAAUACAUUAAUUCCUGUGGAGGAGGGAGGAAGAAGUCCUACUGAUGUAUUUUAGGUGUAGUUAAAUUCAAUGUUCCCUGCCAUUUUAAAUUAUCAAAAUUAUUCUGUUUUGCUCCUUUCUCUCCAAGAGGCUACAUAAAAUUACUUAGACACAGAAAAUCAUGAAUCAUUUUUUUGCUGUUAACGUCUUCUGCAUUCUGUUUCACGAGCAUAGCGAUCAGUGGUCAAGAAUGUCCUUAUUCUUAUCAACCUUCUACUUACUACCCAAGUAAGACUUACCACCGCACAACAGAAUGUUUAGUAGCAGUUUUGUUAAAGUCUAACAUCUUUGCUGUAUUACUGAAACUGACAAGAAACAGAUUGUUAUAAAAAAAAGUUGGCGUCUCUGGAAAUCCUACGUGCCAUAGGUCAGUUGAUAUUGAGCAUACAGGUUCUGACGGCAUUCAUACGUAAUCAGAAAACUGGUACAUUUCAAACUCUUAGCAAUUCCUGCUAUUAAACAAAGGUCAGUAUAGUUUUCAGUAAUAAAAACCUAGUUCAUAUAUUUUAAGUUUUGAAGUUUUAUAAAAUCUUUAACAUACUUUAAAACAAAAGUACCUAAUUUGAGAAGUCCAAUUUUUGUGAUGGGUGGUCUGUGUGCUGUGAAGAAACUAUUAUGUUUUAUGCUUUAGCUCUGAAGUUCACUAAUUUUUAUUCUUCAAAAACAUGUGCUUUUCAAGCUAAAUUGUCUACCCCAUUGCUAUACCCAUACACAGAGAGACAUUAUCGUGAAUAACUCCGGGUUUGUAUUGUCUACUCUCAUGGUUUAAUGGGAAAAAUCUUUUCUCUUAUCGUUCGUGAGGAAGGCAGCUGUUUUCUUGUCUCCCACAGGAAACUAUUAUAGAUUACUGAGUAUUUAAAUUUAAUCCCUCCAGGUUGUAUCUUGGGUAUAUGGUAUUCCUCUCUUUAUAAGUGUAAUUUCUUCUUGAAAAAUGCUUUUUAUUGGGUAUAGCCUAGUAUAAGGAGAUUAUUGUUGAUUUUGUUGAAUAUGCUAACAAUAUUGUGGUUAUGUAGCAAAAUGUUCUUAUCUUUUAGAGAUAUAUACUAAAGUAUUUAGGAGUUAAAUGUCAUCAUUACUGUAAUUUUCUUUAAAAUUCUUUAGCAUAAGAGUAAUAUGAGAAGAUAAGGUGAAAUAGAAGCUGUUACAUCUAAUUAUAGGUAUUUGUGUAUUCAUCAUGCCAUUCUCUAUAUUGUAUGUUUGCAAUUUCUAUAAUGAAGAGAAAAAAUUAUGACUUUCAAUAAAAAUGAAAAAAAUGUACGAGAUUUGUGGGCUAUAUAGCUGCUUUCUGCAAAUGAGAGGUUUUUUGUUUUAUGAACUAAUUUUGAUGAAUGUGUAUUCUUUCCAAUAAUUUUUAACUUCUUUCUUAAAAUGUUUAUUCAUACAGCUGUAAAGCAUGGAAUGCUCUCUUGCACAGUAAGGCUUUUUUUUUCCCAGGUAGUUUGAUAAUUUUUAAUCAUUAAAUACAUAUCCCUAAAACUGAGACCAAAGUUUGUAUCGUUAAAACUGAAACUGUUUCAGAUGAUAACACUUGCCUAAAAAUAUAAAGCUUAGAUUCCAGCCAUUUGUCUUUCAAUCACAUACAGAAAGUUUGUUUCAAAGACUUAAUACGUUCAAAUAUAUGCACUUGGUAUGAAAAUUUCCCGAUAGUCUUAAAUCUGAUUAAAACUCAGAAAUGUGUACAAAUACUGUGAAAAUACUGUUAGUGGUGUUGAGUCGAUUCCGACUCCUGGAGACCUGUGGACAGCAGAGCAGAACCCUGCCCCGUCUUUUUGUGCCAUCCUCUCUCCUUCUGGCCCUAUAUCAGCCAGUACUCUGCUGCUAGGCAAAGGGUUUUCAUGGCCAGUUUUUUCAGAAGUGAGUGGCCGGGUCCUUCUUCCUAGUGUGUCUGGAAGCUCCGCUGAAACCUGUCCACCAUGGGUGACCGUGUCUUAGUCUGGAAGCUCCGCUGAAACCUGUCCACCAUGAGUGAUGCUUUGGUCACCCUGACAUACCUGUGGCAGAGCUUUCAGCAUCACAGCAACAUGCAGCCACCACAGUAUGACAGCCAAGAUAGGUGGUGUGGUUCCCUAACUGGGAUAUGAACCUGAGCCGAGGCGAGCUCUGAAUGUUAACCACUAGACCAUCAGGGCUGGCUAUG